Molecule: ribosomal RNA, 465 nt
Filed under: uncultured bacterium
Lineage: Bacteria
Description: bacterial SSU rRNA
Rfam family: Bacterial small subunit ribosomal RNA
Source: RNAcentral
GGAGGAAAGCAGGGGAUCGCAAGACCUUGCGCUUUUGGAGCGGCCGAUGCCUGAUUAGCUAGUUGGUGAGGUAAAGGCUUACCAAGGCUUCGAUCAGUAGCUGGUCUGAGAGGACGACCAGCCACACUGGGACUGAGACACGGCCCAGACUCCUACGGGAGGCAGCAGUGGGGAAUCUUGGACAAUGGGGGAAACCCUGAUCCAGCCAUGCCGCGUGAGUGAAGAAGGCCUUCGGGUUGUAAAGCUCUUUCAGCCGGAACGAAAAGGUCACGGCUAAUACCCGUGACAAAUGACGGUACCGGAAGAAGAAGCACCGGCUAACUACGUGCCAGCAGCCGCGGUAAUACGUAGGGUGCAAGCGUUAAUCGGAAUUACUGGGCGUAAAGCGUGCGCAGGCGGUUUUGUAAGUCAGAUGUGAAAUCCCCGGGCUUAACCUGGGAACUGCGUUUGAAACUACAAGGCUAG